GGAGUUAGCCGGUUGCUUCUUCUGCGAGUAACGUCACAGAUGUAAGGUAUUAACUUACACCCUUUCCUCCUCGCUGAAAGUGCUUUACAACCCGAAGGCCUUCUUCACACACGCGGCAUGGCUGCAUCAGGGUUUCCCCCAUUGUGCAAUAUUCCCCACUGCUGCCUCCCGUAGGAGUCUGGGCCGUGUCUCAGUCCCAGUGUGGCUGAUCAUCCUCUCAGACCAGCUAGGGAUCGUCGCCUAGGUGAGCCUUUACCUCACCUACUAGCUAAUCCCACCUGGGCUUAUCCAUCAGCGCAAGGCCCGAAGGUCCCCUGCUUUCCCCCGUAGGGCGUAUGCGGUAUUAGCAGUCGUUUCCAACUGUUAUCCCCCACAAAUGGGCAAAUUCCCAGGCAUUACUCACCCGUCCGCCGCUCGUCAUCUUCAAAAGCAAGCUUUUGAAAUGUUACCGCUCGACUUGCAUGUGUUAGGCCUGCCGCCAGCGUUCAAUCUGAGCCAUAAUCAAACUCUGA
RNAcentral lists this ribosomal RNA (512 nucleotides) under uncultured bacterium. Its description in RNAcentral is "partial 16S ribosomal RNA". The record is from RNAcentral.